Molecule: transfer RNA, 130 nt
Filed under: Aureobasidium namibiae CBS 147.97
Lineage: Eukaryota; Fungi; Ascomycota; Dothideomycetes; Dothideales; Saccotheciaceae
Rfam family: tRNA
About the family: Transfer RNA (tRNA) molecules are approximately 80 nucleotides in length.
Source: Rfam by way of RNAcentral
GCCGUGGUGGUGCAGUGGUCAGCACACCCGAUCCGGAAUCCUACGUUCUCUAAGUUCGCUCAUUUACCUAAGUCUCCAAUACACUCUCUCACGGAUCGGGAGGUCGUUGGUUCGAAUCCAGCCCAUGGUG